Molecule: long non-coding RNA, 3014 nt
Organism: Grus americana (Whooping crane)
Lineage: Eukaryota; Metazoa; Chordata; Aves; Gruiformes; Gruidae
Exons: 3
Source: RefSeq, a predicted model, not a curated record
UCUAUUUGUCAUUUGCAUUUAAUGGACCUGUUUCAAAUUUUGUUGAAUACAUAGCUUGUAUUUUUUCAUGGAUCCUUAACUCUUGUUUAGGGUGUGUUUGCAUUGUCAUUUUGGUUUGGAGCAGCAGCAUGAUUUUGAAGUAAUUUCUCUAAUUUUUCUCCAUUUGCCUCAUGUUUUGUUGGGUCUGUGUUUCCGAGAACACAGAUUCAGGAGAAGCUGAUGUUACAUGCACUAGGGACAGAAGGUCUCAAAUUCAUAUGUGGGACACUAAACCCUCCAGGGAUGACUGAUGCAUGCUCAUCACUAGAAGACUCUCAAACCCCCCAGCUCCUGUGAAACAGUUGAUGGGGAAGAAGGACAAGCUAUACCUUUCCCUUUGCUGCCUUUGAAAGGGGAAAUGCAUGCUUCUGCACAUGGAGUCAUCCUGAGGAGGCUCUGAUGAGAUUAUUGUUCACUGCAGUGCACAAUGGAUGUUAUGCUUCAUUUCCAUCACAGGAAGUGUAAAAGAUGGGAGGCCCGUGUGCAUGAACAAAGAGCUCCUAACCAACUCAAAUACAAAAGGAAGCAUAAAGAGGGUGGAAGCAAGGAUGAGUAACCUGAGAGGAAUACAAACCUAUCAUUGCAGCAUCCUGGGACAAAGUUAGGAAAGCUAAAGCCCAAAUGGAUUUGAAUCUGGCCAAGGACAUCAAAGACAACAAGAAGUACUUCUGUAAGUACAUAGGUAACAAAAGGAAGACUAGGAAAUGUGUGAGCUAGUUGCUCAGUAAGACAGUUGAUCUAGUUACAAAAGACAUGGAAAAGGCUGAGGUGCUGAAUGGUUUCUUCACCUCAGUCUUCACUAGCAAGACUGGCCUUCAGGAAUCCCAGGUCCCACAGACAAUGGGGAAAUGCUGCAGCAAGGAAGAAGUACCCUUGGUGGAAAAGGAUCAAGUCAGGAUACUUCAGCAACCUGGCUAUAUGUAAAUCCAUGAGCCCUGAUGGCAUGCACUCAUGAGUGCUGAGGGAUGUGGCAGAUGUCAUUGUGAGAAGUCAUUAUUAUUGUCUCAAUAAUCUUUGAUAGAUGAUAGGGAGAAGUCUCUGAAGACUGGAGGAAAGCAAAUGUCAUCCACAUCUUCAAGAAGGGCAGGAAGGAAGACCCAGGGAACUACAGGAUGGUCAGCUUCACCUUGAUCCCUGGGAAAGCAGCGGAGCAGCUAAUCCUGGAAAGCAUUUCCAGCCACAUGAGGGACAAGAAAAUCAUCAGGACUAGUCAGCAUGGCUUCACCAAGGGGAAGAGCCACAAAGAUGAUGAAGGCACUGGAGCAUCUCUCACAUAUGAGAAAAGGCUGAGAGAGAUGGGACUGCUCAACCCAGAGGAAAGAAAGCUCAGGAAGAUCUCAUCAAUAUAUACAAGGAUAUGAGAGUGCAAAGAAGAUGGUGCCAGGUUCUUUUCAAUGGUGCCCGUGACAGGACCAGAAGCAAUGGGCACAAACUGAAACACAGGAAGUGUCCUCUGAACAUCAGAAAAUAAUUUUUCACUGUGUGGGUGACCAAGUACUGGCAUAGGUUGCCUGGGGAGGUUUUGGAAUCUGCAUCCUUGGAGAUAUUCAGAAGCCAUCUGGACAUGAUCCUGGGCAACUGCCUGUAGGUGGCUUCGCUUGAGUUCGGGGAUUGGACCACAUGACCUCCAGAGGUCCCUGCCAACCUCAACCAUUCUGUGAUUCUGUGAAAUUAUAGUAUUUGAGCAAAAAUGCAUUUUAGAAAUAUUCUACAGUGUCAAAAGUCACCGGAAUAAAAAAACAACAAAGCCACAAAAAACCCCCAAAACAACAGCUUUCUGGGCUUCAAAUCAUGUGGGCCUUCUUAGUAAGUAAAAAGACAUUUCCUCUAUCUGCCAGCCUUGCCAAAAUGAAGCGGAGGUCUGAAAUUCAAGAUGAAUGCUUUAAUAGUGAAAAAGGUGUUUGAAAAUGAUUGAGACAAGAAACUGCUAAUGGACACUUUUAAUUAGCUUAGGGUACCAAGAUGAAAGACUCAGCCCUUUUCACACUGCCGGCUGUUUUCACUGUGUGUGGUAUUUCCUUCUGCUAUGGAUGGGACAUAGGUGUGCCUAACCAACACUUCAUUAUACAGAAACAGAAAAACUGAUGCUCGAUUCAUUUCAAUAUAUGACAUAUGGGCUGGAGUGAGCAGCACUAAUGUGCUCAAAUAGCCUGAAGCAAGUAGUUUAAUAGAUUCCAUGACUACUUGAUGAGUCUGAACACAAAAGAGGGGCCAGAGGGACUCUGGCAAGAAGUAGCAGGAGGGAAGUGAAGCAGGGACAUACAAUGAACCAAAGGUUUUCUCCUGUUUCUUAAAAUAUUGGUAUGUCUGCUCUGCUGAAUGUACUGUUUCUUUUAAAAGCUUCUGGAAAUACUCUUACAAAAAUUCAAAACACAGCCACAAAUCAUUUAUAGGAGACAAAAAACAAUAAGUAGUGUCAGCACAGAGGGAUAUAUUUUACUUGGCUGUGCCAGGAGGAAUUAUGGUGGGCUGUGAUGAGUGGAAUAUAAAGUAACAUAAGUUGCCUGUUGACAACAGGGUUUGAAAUUAUAAAAUAUAAAACCACUAUAUUUCCCUCACAGUAUCAAACAGCUGGGAUUUUUUUAUACCUAGUAGCAGAAUACCAUGUCAUUUUUCAGAGCCCCAUAAUUCUGUAACCAUGUUUAAGUACAUGCUGUUAUUUAUUUAGUUUGUUUAUUUGGUUUCAAAUAUUACAUCGAUUAUGAUGCACUGAGAUGCAAAUACAACAGUAGUGGUCAGCAUUUUGUGGAAAUCUGUUAUCAUAGAUGAUUAUCUGGCCUUAACUUUGGUUUUGGUCAUUAAGGGGAUUGCAUUUAAUAUACUAAAAUAGAUAGCAAUAGUACCAUCCUCUUAUGAAUCAUCACUGAGUUAAAAAAUCCUACAGGAAUCUUAUUUUUCAUGCUAUUUAAAAAUCUAAUUAUAAAAAUAAGUCUUUAUGAGGAACCGACAGCAGCCGAGUUCAAAUAAGAGCUUUU